Molecule: ribosomal RNA, 392 nt
Filed under: uncultured bacterium
Lineage: Bacteria
Description: partial 16S ribosomal RNA
Rfam family: Bacterial small subunit ribosomal RNA
Source: RNAcentral
UACGAGGGGUGCAAGCGUUGUUCGGAAUUACUGGGCGUAAAGGGAGCGUAGGCGGAGAUUCAAGCGGAUUGUACAAUCCCGGGGCCCAACCCCGGCUCUGCAGUCCGAACUGGAUUUCUUGGAUAGUUCAGGGGCAGGCGGAAUUCCUGGGGGAUCGGGGGAAUGCGUAGAGAUCAGGAAGAACACCGAUGGCGAAGGCAGCCUGCUGGGGACUUAUCGACGCUGAGGCUCGAAAGUGCGGGUAGCAAACAGGAUUAGAUACCCUGGUAGUCCGCACCGUAAACGAUGCAUACUGGGUGUCCGGGGGUUCCCCCGGGUACCGUAGCCAACGCGUUAAGUAUGCCGCCUGGGGAGUACGACCGCAAGGUUGAAACUUAAAGGAAUUGACGGGG